This 498-nucleotide ribosomal RNA is filed under the name uncultured bacterium. RNAcentral describes it as "partial 16S ribosomal RNA". It matches the Rfam family "Bacterial small subunit ribosomal RNA", at positions 30 to 523 of the family's 1533-position model. The record is from RNAcentral.
AUUGAACGCUGGCGGCAUGCCUUACACAUGCAAGUCGAACGGUAACAGGUCUUCGGAUGCUGACGAGUGGCGAACGGGUGAGUAAUACAUCGGAACGUGCCCGAUCGUGGGGGAUAACUACUCGAAAGAGUAGCUAAUACCGCAUACGAUCUACGGAUGAAAGCGGGGGAUCUUCGGACCUCGUGCGGACGGAGCGGCCGAUGGCAGAUUAGGUAGUUGGUGGGAUAAAAGCUUACCAAGCCGACGAUCUGUAGCUGGUCUGAGAGGACGACCAGCCACACUGGGACUGAGACACGGCCCAGACUCCUACGGGAGGCAGCAGUGGGGAAUUUUGGACAAUGGGCGAAAGCCUGAUCCAGCAAUGCCGCGUGCAGGAUGAAGGCCUUCGGGUUGUAAACUGCUUUUGUACGGAACGAAAAGACUCCUUCUAAUACAGGGGGUCCAUGACGGUACCGUAAGAAUAAGCACCGGCUAACUACGUGCCAGCAGCCGCCGUAA